GUAAUAAUAAAUAAUCGAUAAUAAUAAUUUUUUUUUAAAGAGACGACAUGCACUUGAAGGGCGGGGCUGUGGGUGAGAAAGGGAGGCUGCAAUUCCGCGCACUGCAAAAGGAAGUGACCACAGGUAUCCCCGCUCAGAUGGUCCCGGGGAGGCGGCCCAGGCAAACGUGGGUGGCAACGCCCGGCUCCGCUGUCCCCCACCCCGUGGCCUGAACCAUCUUCUCAGCAGCCUGCUGACCACCGGGUGCGGACGGGAAAGGGCGGACUGUGCAUGGGCGAGCGGGCGUGAGGGAGGACAGGAGGAUGCAAGGCUGAACAGGUGUGUCUCCUCCACAAAGCUAUGAGCUCCCUGAAGACAGGAACCAAGUCGGAUCCAUCCUCCUCAAGGCCCAGCAUAGGCUGACAGACCUCACACUGGCCAGACCAUACCAGCCAUGUUAUCUUCAAUUCCAAGCAACACAGAUUAAAGGCACAUUAGCCAAUUAAGGCCUAUUGAGAUAAGGGCAGGGGUGCGGAGUCUGGAAGCCACGUUCUGUGAAGAACAGAAGAAUCAGGAAAGAAAACAUGAAGAAGAGACCAUUCCCGGGAAAGAAUUCAUUUGCUGACUCAACAGGCCAUUUCUGGGCACCUCUUCUGCAUGAGGCCCUGGGCAGGUCCCGAGGAGGCCACAGAGGAUGCAGCUACAGUCCCUGCCUGGAGAGCUCACAGUCAGACAUGGAAACAAGUAACUAUAACACGCUGUGGUUACUGCCUUUUGAGGGGGAUGUAGAAUGAGGCCAGGAAAGGACUCUCAGAGGAGGCCUUGCAGGGGGUAGAAUUAUGACAGUGUCAGAGGUAAGUUUCAGUUUAGAGUGAGGACUAACUUUCUCACAAUCAGAAUCACUCAGGAAUGGAAGCUGCCUGCUCCAUAUCUGAAAGAGCUGGAAGCUGUGAGCAUGGCCACUGUGACUGCUUCACAGACCUGAUAUCCAUAUCCAUCAACAAAAGAACCAAAUGUGGAGGCUGUAGGAAAUUCUUCACAGUAACAUAGACAUUAAACCUGCUUCCUUUUACAUGCCAGGUACUCGGGUAGAAACACGAACAGUCUCUGGAUUAGAAAACCU
This is a long non-coding RNA of Lynx canadensis (Canada lynx), 1102 nucleotides long. RefSeq lists it as uncharacterized. NCBI's taxonomy places the organism in Eukaryota, Metazoa, Chordata, Mammalia, Carnivora, Felidae. The record is from RefSeq and is a predicted model, not a curated record. The transcript is spliced from 2 exons.